UACAUGGGGUGCAAACGUUGCUCGGAAUUAUUGGGCGUAAAGCGCACGUAGGCGGUUUGUUAAGUCGGAUGUGAAAUCCCUCGGCUCAACUGAGGAAGUGCAUCCGAAACUGGCAAGCUUGAGUACGAAAGAGGGUCGCGGAAUUCCCGGUGUAGAGGUGAAAUUCGUAGAUAUCGGGAGGAACACCAGUGGCGAAGGCGGCGAUCUGGGAAGAUACUGACGCUGAGGUGCGAAAGCGUGGGGAGCAAACAGG
Molecule: ribosomal RNA, 253 nt
Filed under: uncultured bacterium
Lineage: Bacteria
Description: partial 16S ribosomal RNA
Rfam family: Bacterial small subunit ribosomal RNA
Source: RNAcentral